UUGAUACUUCCUUCGUACGGAAAUAUUUGUCAUCAAAAUGAAUAAAAAGGGAUGUAUCUAGAUGUAUUUUAAUUCUAGAUACAUCCCUUUUUGUCCAUUUUGAUGACAAGUAUUUUUGGACGGAGGAAGUACCAA
Molecule: non-coding RNA, 135 nt
Organism: Triticum aestivum (bread wheat)
Lineage: Eukaryota; Viridiplantae; Streptophyta; Magnoliopsida; Poales; Poaceae
Source: Rfam